UACGAAGGGGGCUAGCGUUGUUCGGAAUCACUGGGCGUAAAGGGUGCGUAGGCGGGUUUUUAAGUCAGGGGUGAAAUCCUGGAGCUCAACUCCAGAACUGCCUUUGAUACUGGCGAUCUUGAGUCCGGGAGAGGUGAGUGGAACUGCGAGUGUAGAGGUGAAAUUCGUAGAUAUUCGCAAGAACACCAGUGGCGAAGGCGGCUCACUGGACCGGUACUGACGCUGAGGUGCGAAAGCGUGGGGAGCAAACAGG
Molecule: ribosomal RNA, 253 nt
Filed under: uncultured bacterium
Lineage: Bacteria
Description: partial 16S ribosomal RNA
Rfam family: Bacterial small subunit ribosomal RNA
Source: RNAcentral